AACGAACGCUGGCGGCAUGCCUAACACAUGCAAGUCGAACGAGACCUUCGGGUCUAGUUGCGCACGGGUGCGUAACGCGUGGGAACCUGCCCUUAGGUUCGGAAUAACUCCCCGAAAGGGGUGCUAUUACCGGGAAAGUUCUUCGAACAAAAGAUUAACCGCUUUUGGAUGGGCCGGCGUUGGAUUAACUAGUUGGUAGGGUAAAAGCCUACCAAGGCGACGAUCCAUAGCUGGUCUGAGAGGAUGAUCAGCCACACUGGGACUGAGACACGGCCCAGACUCCUACGGGAGGCAGCAGUGGGGAAUAUUGGACAAUGGGCGAAAGCCUGAUCCAGCAAUGCCGCGUGAGUGAUGAAGGCCUUAGGGUUGUAAAGCUCUUUUACCCGGGAUGAUAAUGACAGUACCGGGAGAAUAAGCGCCGGCUAACUCCGUG
This 433-nucleotide ribosomal RNA is filed under the name uncultured bacterium. RNAcentral's name for it is "partial 16S ribosomal RNA". It matches the Rfam family "Bacterial small subunit ribosomal RNA", at positions 29 to 507 of the family's 1533-position model. The record is from RNAcentral.